This 255-nucleotide ribosomal RNA is filed under the name Klebsiella pneumoniae. RNAcentral's name for it is "partial 23S ribosomal RNA". It matches the Rfam family "Bacterial large subunit ribosomal RNA", at positions 2061 to 2315 of the family's 2925-position model. The record is from RNAcentral. Lineage: Bacteria; Pseudomonadati; Pseudomonadota; Gammaproteobacteria; Enterobacterales; Enterobacteriaceae.
GCAGUGUACCCGCGGCAAGACGGAAAGACCCCGUGAACCUUUACUAUAGCUUGACACUGAACAUUGAGCCUUGAUGUGUAGGAUAGGUGGGAGGCUUUGAAGCGUGGACGCCAGUCUGCGUGGAGCCGACCUUGAAAUACCACCCUUUAAUGUUUGAUGUUCUAACGUUGGCCCCUUACCGGGGUUGCGGACAGUGUCUGGUGGGUAGUUUGACUGGGGCGGUCUCCUCCCAAAGCGUAACGGAGGAGCGCGUAG